CAGUAGCCGCGGUAAUACGUAGGGUGCAAGCGUUAAUCGGAAUUACUGGGCGUAAAGCGUGCGCAGGCGGUUUGUUAAGACAGAUGUGAAAUCCCCGGGCUCAACCUGGGAACUGCAUUUGUUACUGGCAAGCUAGAGUAUGGCAGAGGGUGGUGGAAUUCCGCGUGUAGCAGUGAAAUGCGUAGAUAUGCGGAGGAACACCGAUGGCGAAGGCAGCCCCCUGGGCCAAUACUGACGCUCAUGCACGAAAGCGUGGGGAGCAAACAGGAUUAGAUACCCCUGUAGUCCCUGUCUCUUAUAC
RNAcentral lists this ribosomal RNA (301 nucleotides) under uncultured bacterium. Its description in RNAcentral is "partial 16S ribosomal RNA". It matches the Rfam family "Bacterial small subunit ribosomal RNA", at positions 509 to 807 of the family's 1533-position model. The record is from RNAcentral.